AGUGAACGCUGGCGGCAGGCCUAACACAUGCAAGUCGAGCGGCAGCGCGGGGGCAACCCUGGCGGCGAGCGGCGGACGGGUGAGGAAUACAUCGGAAUCUGCCUUGUUGUGGGGGAUAACGUAGGGAACUUACGCUAAUACCGCAUGAGACCGUAAGGUGAAAGUGGGGGAUCGCAAGACCUCACGCGACAAGAUGAGCCGAUGUCGGAUUAGCUAGUUGGUGAGGUAAAGGCUCACCAAGGCAACGAUCCGUAGCUGGUCUGAGAGGAUGAUCAGCCACACUGGGACUGAGACACGGCCCAGACUCCUACGGGAGGCAGCAGUGGGGAAUAUUGGACAAUGGGCGCAAGCCUGAUCCAGCCAUGCCGC
This 369-nucleotide ribosomal RNA is filed under the name uncultured bacterium. RNAcentral describes it as "bacterial SSU rRNA". It matches the Rfam family "Bacterial small subunit ribosomal RNA", at positions 29 to 400 of the family's 1533-position model. The record is from RNAcentral.